This 497-nucleotide ribosomal RNA is filed under the name uncultured bacterium. Its description in RNAcentral is "partial 16S ribosomal RNA". It matches the Rfam family "Bacterial small subunit ribosomal RNA", at positions 28 to 507 of the family's 1533-position model. The record is from RNAcentral.
GAUGAACGCUGGCGGCGUGCCUAAUACAUGCAAGUCGAGCGAACAGACGAGGAGCUUGCUCCUCUGACGUUAGCGGCGGACGGGUGAGUAACACGUGGAUAACCUACCUAUAAGACUGGGAUAAAUUCGGGAAACCGGAGCUAAUACCAGAUAAUAUAUUGAACCGCAUGGUUCAAUAGUGAAAGGCGGCUUUGCUGUCACUUAUAGAUGGAUCCGCGGCGCAUUAGCUAGUUGGUAAGGUAACGGCUUACCAAGGCAACGAUGCGUAGCCGACCUGAGAGGGUGAUCGGCCACACUGGAACUGAGACACGGUCCAGACUCCUACGGGAGGCAGCAGUAGGGAAUCUUCCGCAAUGGGCGAAAGCUUGACGGAGCAACGCCGCGUGAGUGAUGAAGGUCUUCGGAUCGUAAAACUCUGUUGUUAGGGAAGAACAAAUGUGUAAGUAACUAUGCACGUCUUGACGGUACCUAAUCAGAAAGCCACGGCUAACUACGUG